GCAAGUCGAGGGGUAACAGGGAAGCUUGCUUCCGCUGACGACCGGCGCACGGGUGAGUAACGCGUAUACAAUCUACCUUCGAGUGGGGGAUAGCCUUUGGAAACGAAGAUUAAUACCCCAUACCGUGGUGAAUCCGCAUGGUUUUAUCACGAAAGUUCCGACGCUUGAAGAUGAGUGUGCGUCCCAUUAGCUAGUUGGUGAGGUAACGGCUUACCAAGGCGAUGAUGGGUAGGGGGCGUGAGAGCGUGACC
RNAcentral lists this ribosomal RNA (251 nucleotides) under uncultured bacterium. RNAcentral's name for it is "partial 16S ribosomal RNA". It matches the Rfam family "Bacterial small subunit ribosomal RNA", at positions 57 to 305 of the family's 1533-position model. The record is from RNAcentral.